Molecule: ribosomal RNA, 468 nt
Filed under: uncultured bacterium
Lineage: Bacteria
Description: partial 16S ribosomal RNA
Rfam family: Bacterial small subunit ribosomal RNA
Source: RNAcentral
GACGAACGCUGGCGGCGUGCUUAACACAUGCAAGUCGAACGGAAAGGCCCUGCUUUUGUGGGGUGCUCGAGUGGCGAACGGGUGAGUAACACGUGAGUAACCUGCCCGUGACUUUGGGAUAACUUCAGGAAACUGGGGCUAAUACCGGAUAGGAGCUCCUGCUGCAUUGUGGGGGUUGGAAAGUUUCGGCGGUUGGGGAUGGACUCGGGGCUUAUCAGGUUGUUGGUGGGGUAGUGGCUUACCAAGGCUUUGACGGGUAGCCGGCCUGGGAGGGUGACCGGCCACAUUGGGACUGAGAUACGGCCCAGACUCCUACGGGAGGCAGCAGUGGGGAAUAUUGCACAAUGGGCGGAAGCCUGAUGCAGCAACGCCGCGUGCGGGAUGACGGCCUUCGGGUUGUAAACCGCUUUCGCCUGUGACGAAGCGUGAGUGACGGUAAUGGGUAAAGAAGCACCGGCUAACUACGUG